UGAGUGACCUGCCCUGGCACGGGGGAUAACCCGGGGAAACCCGGGCUAAUACCGCAUGCGCUCUUUUGGCUGAUGGCUGGGAGAGGAAAGCUGCUGCAAGGCAGCGUGCAAGGGAGGGGCUCGGCGGCGUAUCAGGUAGUUGGUGAGGUAACGGCUCACCAAGCCGAUGACGCGGUAGGGGGUCUGAGAGGAUCGGCCCCCCANAGUUGGGACUGAGAUACCGGCCCAGACCUCUACGGGA
RNAcentral lists this ribosomal RNA (241 nucleotides) under uncultured bacterium. RNAcentral's name for it is "partial 16S ribosomal RNA". It matches the Rfam family "Bacterial small subunit ribosomal RNA", at positions 118 to 346 of the family's 1533-position model. The record is from RNAcentral.